RNAcentral lists this ribosomal RNA (467 nucleotides) under uncultured bacterium. Its description in RNAcentral is "partial 16S ribosomal RNA". It matches the Rfam family "Bacterial small subunit ribosomal RNA", at positions 28 to 507 of the family's 1533-position model. The record is from RNAcentral.
GACGAACGCUGGCGGCGUGCUUAACACAUGCAAGUCGAACGAUGACGACCGAGCUUGCUCGGUCUGAUUAGUGGCGAACGGGUGAGUAACACGUGAGCAACCUGCCCUUCACUCUGGGAUAACCUCGGGAAAUCGGGGCUAAUACCGGAUAUGAGCUCCUGUCGCAUGGCGGGUGUUGGAAAGUUUUUCGGUGAAGGAUGGGCUCGCGGCCUAUCAGUUUGUUGGUGAGGUAGUGGCUCACCAAGGCGAUGACGGGUAGCCGGCCUGAGAGGGCGACCGGCCACACUGGGACUGAGACACGGACCAGACUCCUACGGGAGGCAGCAGUGGGGAAUAUUGCACAAUGGGCGAAAGCCUGAUGCAGCGACGCCGCGUGAGGGAUGACGGCCUUCGGGUUGUAAACCUCUUUCAGCAGGGAAGAAGCGAAAGUGACGGUACCUGCAGAAGAAGCGCCGGCUAACUACGUG